Long non-coding RNA from Puntigrus tetrazona (Sumatra barb), 637 nucleotides. RefSeq lists it as uncharacterized. NCBI's taxonomy places the organism in Eukaryota, Metazoa, Chordata, Actinopteri, Cypriniformes, Cyprinidae. The record is from RefSeq and is a predicted model, not a curated record. The transcript has 4 exons.
UUAUCGUAUUCCUUUUUUUUUUAGCCACAAGAGGGCACUGAAUCAUAGCUCUUGAUAUCAGGUCCUCAGGCGCUUUCUCAAUAAAAAUAGCUCGUUCCAGGCCAUUAGACCACAGAGUGCAACCCACCCAUUUUUCCAGUUGCCUUGGUUCUGGUAUUUUCACAAUCAUUUUAUUUUACUUUCAAGAAUUGAGUCGCAGCAUUGCACAAACCUUGUCCCCAGCUCGUGGCUCCCACCAAUUUCCAGGUGAAGGAAUCCUCGCAAGCCAACGGACCACCGCUGUCACCCUGUUACCAACAUAGACAAGAAGUUUCCCUGUCCUGUAGGUCCUUCAGGGAAUAGAUCCUCCAUUUAUAUCAGCCCCAACAUCUACACUUGCUGCAGACUCCAGUUCAUCUGGAUUAGCCAUGACUCACUUCAAACGCUCAUCUUAACAGUACCCAAACAUAUGCAGUUCAUUUCAGAUUAGACUGGGGAAAGACAGCAAAAGAAGUAGAAACAAGCUGCCACAUGUGUCUCAAGCGGCUUCCUUCAUCUGUGAAGUUACAGCUUACACACAAUGACAACAUAACCGAUACGAAGCAUAAAAGCAUCCAGUGGACAGCCAUGGCAAAGGCAUCAGGGCCCCAAAUACCAA